GAAAUGCGAUAAGUAAUGUGAAUUGCAGAAUUCAGUGAAUCAUCGAAUCUUUGAACGCACAUUGCGCCCGCCAGUAUUCUGGCGGGCAUGCCUGUUCGAGCGUCAUUACAACCCUCAGGCCCCCGGGCCUGGCGUUGGGGAUCGGCGGAAGCCCCCUGCGGGCACAACGCCGUCCCCCAAAUACAGUGGCGGUCCCGCCGCAGCUUCCAUUGCGUAGUAGCUAACACCUCGCAACUGGAGAGCGGCGCGGCCACGCCAUAAAACACCCAACUUCUGAAUGUUGACCUCGAAUCAGGUAGGAAUACCCGCUGAACUUAAGC
Molecule: unclassified non-coding RNA, 320 nt
Filed under: plant metagenome
Description: partial contains 5.8S ribosomal RNA, internal transcribed spacer 2, and large subunit ribosomal RNA
Rfam family: 5.8S ribosomal RNA (bases 1-105)
Source: RNAcentral